AACUAUUUAAAAGGCCACGCCGAAGCUCACGUUCCUGUGCUCUGUGCUGGGAUGUUGUCUCGGAGGGAGCCCUCGGGUAAGGUGGAAUGGUUCCGCCCUUCAGGGGUGACCAGGACAAGCCGCUAAGCCUAACCUAACUCCAGCAGGGGAUGGGGCAGAUCGGAAGUUACCUUACCCCCUGCUUAGCUCUCGAAUCAAGGACGUACCACGUGACAUAAAAAGUACAACCGUCGAGGCCGGGCGCGGUGGCUCACGCCUGUGAUCCCAGAACUUUGGAAGGCCGAGGUCGGUGGAUCACGAGGAUGGAGGAGACACUAGAACCUAUCGCUCUCUUUUCCUGCUGUGAACUCCAAUUGCAUCACCUCUCCUUGAAGCCCUCCCAGAUGCCCGCCCUCAUGUCAGGGUUUUAUAGCCUCGGAUUCGUUCGGUGACCUACAGCAAGAAACACGUUUUAUGUUGUGAGAUAAAUGAUACAAAAGUUUCAUGGACAAUACUUACCCUGGCUAUGUGUGCACACUCAUAUUUUCUAUUGCACGUGUUGUGUUCUAUUUGAUGGUUUUAAGGUGCCAGCCAUGACCUUCUAAAUUGAAUUCACAAACCACCACCGGAUUGUGACCCAGUGUUAAAACAAUGCUACUUUCACUCCUGGAUGCAGUAGAUGGCUUCAUGUGUGUCUCAGGGCUCUGGCUGUCCCCGAAAGAUGCAGAGGAGAUGGUCCUCAAGCAUUUCUUGCUCUGAGGUCAAAUAAAAGUUUGUAUAUAACAAAUAGAACCUGUUCCAAGGCCAGAGGCACAGGGGUGCAAAUAGAACCCAGCAAGGAGGGGUAAAUGAGGGAGGAGGGGCAGUUCCCAAGAGGCCUGGUGAGGACCCCUGUGCUUCCAGAGACUACAAAAGCAGUGGAGGCGCUACUGGAGCCUGGAACC
Long non-coding RNA from Symphalangus syndactylus (siamang), 923 nucleotides. RefSeq lists it as uncharacterized. NCBI's taxonomy places the organism in Eukaryota, Metazoa, Chordata, Mammalia, Primates, Hylobatidae. The record is from RefSeq and is a predicted model, not a curated record.